RNAcentral lists this ribosomal RNA (373 nucleotides) under uncultured organism. RNAcentral's name for it is "bacterial SSU rRNA". It matches the Rfam family "Bacterial small subunit ribosomal RNA", at positions 526 to 896 of the family's 1533-position model. The record is from RNAcentral.
CGUAGGGCGCAAGCGUUGUCCGGAAUUAUUGGGCGUAAAGAGCUCGUAGGCGGUUUGUCGCGUCUGCCGUGAAAACCCGAGGCUUAACCUCGUGGCUUGCGGUGGAUACGGGCAGACUAGAGGUAGGUAGGGGAGAAUGGAAUUCCCGGUGUAGCGGUGAAAUGCGCAGAUAUCGGGAGGAACACCGGUGGCGAAGGCGGUUCUCUGGGCCUUACCUGACGCUGAGGAGCGAAAGCGUGGGGAGCGAACAGGAUUAGAUACCCUGGUAGUCCACGCCGUAAACGUUGGGCGCUAGGUGUGGGGUCUUUCCACGGAUUCCGUGCCGUAGCUAACGCAUUAAGCGCCCCGCCUGGGGAGUACGGCCGCAAGGCUA